GUUAAACGAGAAGACUUUAGAUAUGAUCCAGAGUACCACGGGACACGUGAAACCCUGUGGGAAGCAGGAGGGACCACCCUCCAAGGCUAAAUACUACCUAGUGACCGAUAGCGUAUAGUACCGUGAGGGAAAGGUGAAAAGAACCCCGGGAGGGGAGUGAAAUAGAACCUGAAACCCUGCACUUACAAGCUGUGGAAGCACAUUUCUUGUGUGACCGCGUACUUUUUGUAGAACGGGCCAACGAGUUACGUUAAGUAGCAAGGUUAAGCACUUAAGGUGCGGAGCCGUAGCGAAAGCGAGUUUUAACUGAGCGUUCAGUUACUUGACGUAGACCCGAAACCGGGCGACCUACCCAUGAGCAGGAUGAAGCGAAAGUAAAAUUUCGUGGAGGUCCGAACCCACGAGCGUUGAAAAGCUCGGGGAUGACUUGUGGGUAGCGGUGAAAUUCCAAUCGAGCCCGGAGAUAGCUGGUUCUCCCCGAAAUAGCUUUAGGGCUAGCCUCAAGGUGAGAGAUACGGAGGUAGAGCACUGAAUGUCCUAGGGGGUAUUGCACCUACCGAAGACUAUCAAACUCCGAAUGCCGUCAUCUUAUACUUGGGAGUCAGACUGUGGGUGAUAAGAUUCAUAGUCGAAAGGGCAACAGCCCAGAUCGUCAGCUAAGGUCCCUAAAUGUAAGUUAAGUGGUAAAGGAUGUGGGAUUGCACAGACAACCAGGAUGUUGGCUUAGAAGCAGCCACUCAUUCAAAGAGUGCGUAAUAGCUCACUGGUCGAGUGAUCCUGCGCCGAAGAUUUCCGGGGCUAAAACUUACUACCGAAGCUACGGCAUCAGUAAUGAUGGGUAGGGGAGCUUCCCAUACGGGUUGAAGCAUGACCGUAAGGACAUGUGGACAGUAUGGGAGUGAGAAUGUUGGCAUGAGUAGCGAGAUGUGGGUGAGAAUCCCACAGGCCGUAAACCCAAGGUUUCCAGGGGAAGGUUCGUCCGCCCUGGGUUAGUCGGGACCUAAGCUGAGGCCGAAAGGCGUAGGUGAUGGACAACAGGUUGAUAUUCCUGUACUACCGAUAACCGUUUGAGAGAAGGGAUGACACAGUAGGAUAAGCUAAGCACACUGUUGGUUAUGUGUGCCCAAGCAUUGAGGCAGUCAAAGUAGGCAAAUCCGCUUUGAUAAUGCUGGGAUGUGAUGGGGAGCGAAAUUUAGUAGCGAAGUAGCUGAUUUCACACUGUCAAGAAAAGUCUCUAUCGAGGUUAAAGGUACCCGUACCGCAAACCGACACAGGUGGGUGAGGAGAGUAUCCUAAGGCCAGCGAGAGAACUGUUGUUAAGGAACUCGGCAAAAUGACCCCGUAACUUAGGGAUAAGGGGUGCCACCAUUAGGUGGCCGCAGAGAAUAGGCCCAAGCGACUGUUUACCAAAAACAUAGGUUUCUGCUAAGUCGCAAGACGAUGUAUAGGAGCUGACGCCUGCCCGGUGCUGGAAGGUUAAGGGGAUCUGUUAGAG
Molecule: ribosomal RNA, 1495 nt
Filed under: Clostridioides difficile
Lineage: Bacteria; Bacillati; Bacillota; Clostridia; Peptostreptococcales; Peptostreptococcaceae
Description: partial 23S ribosomal RNA
Rfam family: Bacterial large subunit ribosomal RNA
Source: RNAcentral